ACUCUUACGGGAGGCAGCAGUGGGGAAUAUUGCACAAUGGGCGCAAGCCUGAUGCAGCCAUGCCGCGUGUAUGAAGAAGGCCUUCGGGUUGUAAAGUACUUUCAGCAGUGAGGAAGGCGGGUACGUUAAUAGCGUGCUCGUUUGACGUUAGCUGCAGAAGAAGCACCGGCUAACUCCGUGCCAGCAGCCGCGGUAAUACGGAGGGUGCGAGCGUUAAUCGGAAUUACUGGGCGUAAAGCGCAUGCAGGUGGUUUGUUAAGUCAGAUGUGAAAGCCCGGGGCUCAACCUCGGAAUUGCAUUUGAAACUGGCAGACUAGAGUACUGUAGAGGGGGUAGAAUUUCAGGUGUAGCGGUGAAAUGCGUAGAGAUCUGAAGGAAUACCGGUGGCGAAGCGGCCCCUGGACAGAUACUGACACUCAGAUGCGAAAGCGUGGGAGCAAACAGGAUUAGAUACCCCGUGUAGCACAGAG
RNAcentral lists this ribosomal RNA (470 nucleotides) under uncultured bacterium. RNAcentral describes it as "bacterial SSU rRNA". It matches the Rfam family "Bacterial small subunit ribosomal RNA", at positions 335 to 799 of the family's 1533-position model. The record is from RNAcentral.